GAUGAACGCUAGCUACAGGCUUAACACAUGCAAGUCGAGGGGAUACGGCAUCGAAAGCUUGCUUUUGAUGGGCGUCGACCGGCGCACGGGUGAGUAACGCGUAUCCAACCUGCCCAUCACUUGGGAAUAACCUUGCGAAAGUAAGACUAAUGCCCAAUGACAUCCCACGAAGGCAUCCGAAUGGGAUUAAAGAUUUAUCGGUGAUGGAUGGGGAUGCGUCUGAUUAGCUUGUUGGCGGGGUGACGGCCCACCAAGGCAACGAUCAGUAGGGGUUCUGAGAGGAAGGGCCCCCACAUUGGAACUGAGACACGGUCCAAACUCCUACGGGAGGCAGCAGUGAGGAAUAUUGGUCAAUGGGCGAGAGCCUGAACCAGCCAAGUAGCGUGCAGGAUGACGGCCCUAUGGGUUGUAAACUGCUUUUAUAAGGGAAUAAAGUGGGUCACGUGUGACUUUUUGCAUGUACCUUAUGAAUAAGGACCGGCUAAUUCCGUG
This 492-nucleotide ribosomal RNA is filed under the name uncultured bacterium. Its description in RNAcentral is "partial 16S ribosomal RNA". It matches the Rfam family "Bacterial small subunit ribosomal RNA", at positions 28 to 507 of the family's 1533-position model. The record is from RNAcentral.